This 378-nucleotide long non-coding RNA is filed under the name Mytilus galloprovincialis (Mediterranean mussel). Lineage: Eukaryota; Metazoa; Mollusca; Bivalvia; Mytilida; Mytilidae. The record is from RNAcentral.
GGCCUGCAUCUGUUAAAAUAAUUAAGUUCUAUAGUGACCUUAGAUAAUUAGACAAUUUCAAUACAUUACAAUACCUCAGACGCGCGUUUCGUCUACAUAAGACUCGUCAAUGACACUCAUAUCAAAAUAGUACUAAACCCAAACAAUUACAAAAUUGUAAAGCGUUGAGGGUAAAAAAUUCCAAAACUUUGUGCCAAAUAAAACUAAGGUAAUUUAUGCCUGUAUCACUGCCAUUCGGGAUUAGAAAUCAAGCUAACUAGAUACCAAUGUUGGCUAAGUCUGUGUUCUAUUAUUCACCUUUACGAGCUGGUCUUCCGUGUUACUAGGUAUAGAGAAAUUGUAAUUGGCAUGCAUGUCCACUUCCAAUCAUAUUAGUAU